GACGAACGCUGGCGGCGUGCUUAACACAUGCCAGUCGAACGGAAAGGCCCUGCUUUUGUGGGGUGCUCGAGUGGCGAACGGGUGAGUAACACGUGAGUAACCUGCCCUUGACUUUGGGAUAACUUCAGGAAACUGGGGCUAAUACCGGAUAGGAGCUCCUGCUGCAUGGUGGGGGUCGGAAAGUUUCGGCGGUUGGGGAUGGACUCGCGGCUUAUCAGCUUGUUGGUGGGGUAGUGGCUUACCAAGGCUUUGACGGGUAGCCGGCCUGAGAGGGUGACCGGCCACAUUGGGACUGAGAUACGGCCCAGACUCCUACGGGAGGCAGCAGUGGGGAAUAUUGCACAAUGGGCGGAAGCCUGAUGCAGCAACGCCGCGUGCGGGAUGACGGCCUUCGGGUUGUAAACCGCUUUCGCCUGUGACGAAGCGUGAGUGACGGUAAUGAGUAAAGAAGCACCGGCUAACUACGUG
This 468-nucleotide ribosomal RNA is filed under the name uncultured bacterium. RNAcentral's name for it is "partial 16S ribosomal RNA". It matches the Rfam family "Bacterial small subunit ribosomal RNA", at positions 28 to 507 of the family's 1533-position model. The record is from RNAcentral.